GGGGUAGUUAAGUCCCUGGGAUGAUUUCAAGAGUUGCCGGCUUUUGGAGUACAAUCUAGGAUUAGGGUUAAUUAAUUAACAAAAAUCUAUUACUGGAGUUGAAAAAAAAGAAAGUUGAAUCAGAAGAAAAUGGGCAUCACAGACACUUUUAAUGGUUGAUGGCUGCCAUUUCAAAUUUCCUUCACUAAAAACAGGGAUUUCCUUAAGAAGGUAAUAUGGAUAAACAGGAGGAGUAAAUAAUAGAUAUGUAAAUGAACAAGACACGGAUAAAAAAUCACGUUCACUAUAAACAAAAAUACAAUUUGUCCAUCAUUGAGACAUAUUUAAUACUAUAAACAAAAUCUAAAAUUUUAUCCUUCUUAUCCUACUCAGAUCUUCAUCACGUAUUGCAAGUUAAUUACUGAGAGAAAAAUAUACCAUCCAAUUCAAUUUGGUGCAUGCUUUUUUCCUUUUGAGCAAAUCAAUGCAAUCUAAAAAUUUUUCACUUGAUUCCAAUAGUCAUUUUCAUUUGAUUAAGAGCAAAUGGAAUUUGUAUUGCUGCACUUUCGGAGUCUGAGCUACAAGCAACACUUGAUCCCCUUCCAAAUGUGAUCGGCGAAGAGAGAUCCCCUUCCAACACUUGAUGAGCUGGAAUGAAGAGACUAUCUGUCAAGAACAAGAUCAAACUGGAAGUUUAAAUAGCUGAUGAAGCUUCCGGUGAGUGAGAGAUCCAUCCAGUUGAAAUAUUCAAUUCAAGAACCUUGCCAGCAUCAGAAAUUCAAGAUCCGUUGCAGGCCAGUAAUGCAAGAAGGCUAUCAAGUCAUCCAUGCAUCUCCAGCAGUCUGUGGUUUUAUUUUGGAUGUCCUCCUGUACGGUACGCUGCUGCAUUAGGAAGGUGAAACUAUCUGAAUUAAUGUGAAGAACAAACCGUCUAGUGGAACAGGCAUGCUUUCAGCUGCAGGAUUGUUAAGUGUACAUCCUGGAACUGUAAAGGCCAAAACUCUAAGCAUAGCACCACCCCCAGUGGAGGAGUGAGGAUUAAGUCUCCUUUCCCACCUCCUCCCAAUGAUUCUGCAGCUGCUAGGAUGACUUUGGGAAGGCAUAAUACUGCUCUUAAGGGGCCCAUGGAAGUUGCUAGACAUUCUGCUGAUCCACUGGCAGAUCUGUCACAACUUGAGGUUCCCAUUCUCCUGUCUGUUACGUUUUUGGAACUUUCUUUAUCCUUCUAUGCAAUUUAAACAGCAGAAGUUUGUAUACCAAGAGGCUUUGUUAUUAGAGGUAGAUAGAGCACUUAAUUGUAGCAGACUACAAUCAAGAAAAUUGAGACCUGCCAACUUUCAGAAACUCCCAUCAAGAAGGAUCAUUGAUCAUCAUGUGAUUGGAAUAAAGGCCUCAUCUGAGUCGAUUUAAAGGAGGGGUUGGUAGUUUAAACUUGAGGCUUUAAAAAAUUUCUGCUUUGUCCAGCUCUUGUAUGAGGUGUUCAACCUUUUUAUUUAACCUUCAUUUAGGUCCA
Coffea arabica (coffee) is the source of this 1492-nucleotide long non-coding RNA. RefSeq lists it as uncharacterized. The record is from RefSeq and is a predicted model, not a curated record. NCBI's taxonomy places the organism in Eukaryota, Viridiplantae, Streptophyta, Magnoliopsida, Gentianales, Rubiaceae.